GACGAACGCUGGCGGCAUGCUUCAUACAUGCAAGUCGAACGAUAAGGUCUCUUCGGAGAUACAUAAGUGGCGGACGGGUGAGUAAUAUGUAGGAAAUCUGCCCUAGAGAGGGGGACAACAGAGGGAAACUUCUGCUAAUACCCCAUAUGAGCGUACCUGAAAUGGUAUUCUUGAAAACUCCGGUGCUCUAGGAUGAGCCUGCAUCUGAUUAGCUUGUUGGCGGUGUAAUGGACCACCAAGGCGACGAUCAGUAGCUGGUUUGAGAGGAUGAUCAGCCACAAUGGGACUGAGACACGGCCCAUACUCC
Molecule: ribosomal RNA, 307 nt
Filed under: uncultured cyanobacterium
Lineage: Bacteria; Bacillati; Cyanobacteriota
Description: bacterial SSU rRNA
Rfam family: Bacterial small subunit ribosomal RNA
Source: RNAcentral